Poeciliopsis prolifica (blackstripe livebearer) is the source of this 359-nucleotide non-coding RNA. The record is from the annotation of a RefSeq genome assembly. Lineage: Eukaryota; Metazoa; Chordata; Actinopteri; Cyprinodontiformes; Poeciliidae.
AUGAUGAUGUCACUGACUCCACUGCUGACCAUCCUGGGCUCCUGGUUCAGGGUUCAUCAGGAGACAUCAUCCUGACUAGGACUCCUGGAUCUCAGUCUGUUGCUGCAGGACAAACUGUCACCAUCAGAUGUAAAACCAGUUCAUAUGUUGGUAACAAUCUCCACUGGUACCUUCAGAAACCUGCAGAAGCUCCUAAACUCUUAAUUUAUGAUAGUGCAACUCGUCAGUCUGGAGUUCCAGCUCGUUUCAGUGGAAGUGGAUCUGGUUCUGACUACACUUUGACCAUCAGUGGAGUUCAGGCUGAAGAUACAGGAGUUUAUUACUGUCAGCAGGGUUGGAGCUCACCGUUCACACAGUGA